Molecule: long non-coding RNA, 872 nt
Organism: Gadus macrocephalus (Pacific cod)
Lineage: Eukaryota; Metazoa; Chordata; Actinopteri; Gadiformes; Gadidae
Exons: 4
Source: RefSeq, a predicted model, not a curated record
CCACGAGAAGGCAGAGCAGGUGCGCAUGGCAUGUCAUGCGCAACCAAGUGUGUUAAUAAUGCAGGCCGUGCAUUUCACUUUAGAGUAUAGGCCUAUUGCAUGGGGAUUCUUCCGUCAACAACUUUAUAUUCGGACUUUUGGGUGGGAACCAAGGACUUGUUGAAAUCUCCCUUCUCCUGUUGGGAUGGGAAGAAGAAAAUAAACCUAAGGAUGCUUCGCGGAGAAUUUGUAGAAAAGAGGAAACACUGUCCCUUGGAGUUGUCCGCCCAGAAGAUAAAUAAUCCACCAUCGAAUCACGCGUGUUACAAACGUUUCCGGAGAAGAAUUUGCCGGGGUCACGGAAGUGAUGGAGCACCGCUGGCCAGUACUCCGUUAGCCACUGGGCGGUGCUGUUCUCCCUGCUAUGAGUUCGACACAGUCCGUCAAAGGUUGGCCAUGGACUCUCCACCGAGGGAUUCAACAACAGAAACAACACAAGACGUCACAAAUAAAAGUCUGCAAGGUGCAGAGGUGGAAGUUGAAGCUGAUUUGAAGAGUCGUACUGACAAACCACCUAUCCCGCCACCCGUCUUCUCUAUACGAAGCAGGCCCGAAGCAAGCAAUGCCACAAAGAAGGGCUGGCUGUGGGCUGUAGCAGAAGAGGGAAACACAAACACUGAUGGUAAUCUUGCACUGCACACAAAUGCGUGCAGACACAAACACCUCACACCCUCUCUAACAUGCACAGACUCACACACACACUCAUUCACACAGGCACCCACAGAUUCACACACACACACACACACACACACACACACACACACACACACACACACACACACACACACACACACACACACACACACACACACAAUCAUGCACACAGUACAUCA